GGUAAUGCCGGAUGCUCCAGUUGAUCGCAUGGUCUUCUGGGAAAGCUUUCGCGGUAUGGGAUGGGGUCGCGUCCUAUCAGCUUGACGGCGGGGUAACGGCCCACCGUGGCUUCGACGGGUAGCCGGCCUGAGAGGGCGACCGGCCACAUUGGGACUGAGAUACGGCCCAGACUCCUACGGGAGGCAGCAGUGGGGAAUAUUGCACAAUGGGCGCAAGCCUGAUGCAGCGACGCCGCGUGAGGGAUGGAGGCCUUCGGGUUGUAAACCUCUUUUAUCGGGGAGCAAGCGAGAGUGAGUUUACCCGUUGAAUAAGCACCGGCUAACUACGUGCCAGCAGCCGCGGUAAUACGUAGGGUGCAAGCGUUAUCCGGAAUUAUUGGGCGUAAAGGGCUCGUAGGCGGUUCGUCGCGUCCGGUGUGAAAGUCCAUCGCUUAACGGUGGAUCCGCGCCGGGUACGGGCGGGCUUGAGUGCGGUAGGGGAGACUGGAAUUCCCGGUGUAACGGUGGAAUGUGUAGAUAUCGGAAAAUAACAC
RNAcentral lists this ribosomal RNA (533 nucleotides) under Bifidobacterium longum subsp. suillum. RNAcentral's name for it is "bacterial SSU rRNA". It matches the Rfam family "Bacterial small subunit ribosomal RNA", at positions 162 to 709 of the family's 1533-position model. Lineage: Bacteria; Bacillati; Actinomycetota; Actinomycetes; Bifidobacteriales; Bifidobacteriaceae. The record is from RNAcentral.